UACCAAACCUUUUUGUCAGGGUGCUUCUCUAUCCGUUUUAGGAUAAACCUAUCUACAGAAGUGUCUGUUACUGUUUUGGAAGAGUAAUACUGUUCGCUUAUCCAUAUUUCCCCGUUCUGGGGAAGCCUAAUGGGUAAAUUAGAAGGACAACCUUUGUUUUAAAGGUAUACCUUCGCUUUUUAGAACGGUGAGGAUCUUAUGAGUUGAGCUUUUGUUACUUGAGACUUUAUCUCGGGCUCCAUACAAUAUGUUCGUAGUAAAGAUCCUCACAAUU
Molecule: small nucleolar RNA, 274 nt
Filed under: Saccharomyces cerevisiae YJM1202
Lineage: Eukaryota; Fungi; Ascomycota; Saccharomycetes; Saccharomycetales; Saccharomycetaceae
Description: SNR191
Rfam family: Small nucleolar RNA snR191
Source: RNAcentral